Molecule: long non-coding RNA, 651 nt
Organism: Rhinichthys klamathensis goyatoka
Lineage: Eukaryota; Metazoa; Chordata; Actinopteri; Cypriniformes; Leuciscidae
Exons: 2
Source: RefSeq, a predicted model, not a curated record
CCCUUGUGUUGUUCCAAACCUGUAUGCUGUUUUCAGAGGAACACAAAAGCAGAACUAUCAGCCCUUUUUCCAUACAGCUACAAUUACUUGCUAACUCAAUCUCGAGUUAACAGGUCACAAAUAUUAACAAAUGUUGUCUGUUCACUUUCUUAGUCAGAAAAAGAUCAAAGCAUUCAUACACUGACUUGAGAAACAUAAAUAUAAGAUUUUGUCUUGUUUUCUGAAAAAUGUAUCAAAAUUAAGUGAGUUAAAUGAAAAACGAAUCAGCCAACGGGGUAAGAAAACUACAAAAACAGGUAUAAAAUCACUUCUUUUUUAUACUUUUUCCAUAAACAAGAUGUUUUUUUGCUUCUCAAGAAAAUGUUUCUUAAUUUAAGAAUGAUUUGAUAUUCAUACUGGAAUAUAAGACAAAAUCACUUUUUGCAGUGGCCUCUAAAAGACUUGAAAUAUAGUGCAGAAGGACCGAUUUCACUGUUUUUUAUAGAAAAAUGUCUGCCUGAAAUUCCUCCUUUUGUGUUCAACAAAAAUAAAACAAAAAUUAGCAAAUAGCAGCAUACAGAUUUAAAGCAACAUAAGGGUUAAUAACUUAAGUUAGCUUUUAUGGUUUUGGUGAACUAUUCUUUUAAAGAAUAGCUGUUAAACAUUGAAAAA